Molecule: RNA transcript, 1602 nt
Organism: Brassica rapa (field mustard)
Lineage: Eukaryota; Viridiplantae; Streptophyta; Magnoliopsida; Brassicales; Brassicaceae
Gene name: SNAP25 homologous protein SNAP33
Source: RefSeq, a predicted model, not a curated record
GAUCGAUAACAUGUCCCCAAACGUCAAAAAUACAGGGAAAAGGAAACAAAAAAUAGAAAAAAGAGAUAUUUAGUUAUUAAAAAUUCUAAUUUUUCUGGUAAAUUUAUUGUAUCUUUUGUUGAAACUAACAUAUUUUUUACACUGGUGCAUGAAAAAAGAGAGUGGAAUUAAUAAUUUUGUUUUAUUUAAUAGAUAGAUAUAUAUACGUAGUUUAAUUGCUACAAGAUAUUAAUAUUUCGUAAAGACAAAUCCUAAAGACUUUUGAACUAAAAACCUUCUUCUUGGGUCGUUCCGCGUUAAAUCGUUUUCCUUAUUUUGAUCCCUUCUUAUACGCAUUGAUUUGGUCCUUUUAAACACCAAUCUUCUUCCGCGUCUCUUCUACUCUACUCCAUUCCUCAUCCAUUCAGGAAAGUUUAUUACAUAACCAACCCAAAUAUUCGUUUGUCCACAAGUUUUUAAGAGACAAUGUUCGGUUCGAAGAAAUCACCAGCAAACCUUCCCAAGCACAACUCUGCUGAUCCUGGAUUCCACAAACCAAACCCGUUUGAUUCAGAUGAUACCACCCUUAACCCCUCCAAGAGAACUUCCUCUGAACCCUCUUUAGCUAUCACGACCAACCCUUUUGAUGAGGUUGAGAAAGGGUCUAGUAGUAGCUCUUCCAAGCAGUCAUUGACUUCGAACUCGAGACACCAGUACAAGAACAAUUUCAGGGAUUCAGGAGGUGUUGAGAACCAGUCUGUUCAGGAGCUUGAAGGCUAUGCUGUGUACAAAGCUGAAGAGACUACAAAGUCUGUUCAAGGUUGUCUGAAAGUAGCUGAAGAGAUAAGGUCAGAUGCUACUAGAACUUUGGUCAUGUUACAUGACCAGGGUGAGCAAAUCACGAGGACGCAUCAUAAAGCUGUUGAAAUUGAUCAUGAUCUCAGUAGAGGCGAGAAGCUUCUUGGAAGCCUUGGAGGUAUGUUUUCAAAGACAUGGAAGCCGAAGAAGACUCGCCCUAUAAAUGGUCCUGUCAUAUCUAGAGAUCACUCACCAACGAGAAGAGUUAACCACUUAGAGAAAAGGGAAAAACUGGGACUGAGUCCAGCACCAAAAGCACAGUCAAGAACCAGAGAACCUCUCCCUGAAUCAGCUGAUGCCUAUCAGAGAGUGGAGAUGGAAAAAGCUAAGCAAGAUGAUGGACUUUCUGAUUUGAGUGAUCUACUAGGGGAGCUAAAGAACAUGGCAGUUGACAUGGGAAGUGAAAUGGAAAAGCAGAAAGAUGGUCUUGAUCAUCUUCAUGAUGAUGUUGACGAACUCAAUUACAGAGUGCAACAAUCAAACCAACGUGCCAGCCGGUUGCUCAGGAAGUAGAUGAACAUAGUUAUAUGUUCAUUACACUCCUUCCUCUCGUGUUUCUUCAGUGAACUAGUUGCUUAUAUACGUUUCUGUCUAUGUUUAUAUUGGAUAUUGAUUAUGAAAGAACAAAAAUCUUAAUAGAAUACAAGCAAACAUAUACUUUCUCAAGAAAUUCUGACAAACAGAAAGAUGAUGUAUGAAUCUCUCUCAUAGUUUCAUAAUCUUAUUUAAGUUUUUGUAAAAAAAAAUUGAUCUUUGUUGUGCUUA